This 388-nucleotide long non-coding RNA is filed under the name Homo sapiens (human). RNAcentral's name for it is "HSALNT0239479". Lineage: Eukaryota; Metazoa; Chordata; Mammalia; Primates; Hominidae. The record is from RNAcentral.
UCAGAAAACAAAGCAUACUGACACAUAGUGCUCUACUUCCCAUCCACUUGAGUUCUAAGAGCAAUUUCCCCACUCCCAAGUUGGGCCAGUAAAGAUUACAUGAAAACUGGCACACCUAUUGGCUGGAAUACAGAUGCACCAAAUGAGGAUUUAAAAACUUUCCGAGCGAAAAGUAGAACAAAAAGAAAAAAGAAUCUCCUAGCAUUUUCCCCCAAGGUUUCACUCUCCCGCCACACACACUCUCCAAAGGACCGCUACAGAUCCAACUCUGCAAGAGAAGACAGAGCAGUGUCAAUCAGGAAGCCAUGAGGACACCAGGAGGAGGUUUUCAGUCUCGACACGCAGAAGACAGAGCUGCCCAGCCCUGGGGUCCUGAAGCCAGCACUCA